GACGAACGCUGGCGGCGUGCCUAACACAUGCAAGUUGAGCGACGAACCAGGGCUUGCCCUGGGGCAAAGCAGCGAACGGGUGAGUAACACGUGGGUAACCUACCCCGAUAACCGGGACAACCCGAGGAAACUCGGGCUAAUACCGGAUGUGCUCACUGGACUUCGGUUCAGUGCGUAAAGGAAGCUUCGGCCUCCGUAUCGGGAGGGGCCCGCGGCCCGUUAGUUUGUUGGUGAGGUAACGGCUCACCAAGACCGCGAUGGGUAGCUGGUCUGAGAGGACGAUCAGCCACACUGGGACUGAGACACGGCCCAGACUCCUACGGGAGGCAGCAGUGGGGAAUCUUGCGCAAUGCGCGAAAGCGUGACGCAGCAACGCCGCGUGGGGGAAGAAGGCCUUCGGGUUGUAAACCCCUUUCAGGAGGGACGAAGGUUCGGCGGUGAAUAGCCGUCCGGACUGACGGUACCUCCACAAGAAGCCCCGGCUAACUACGUG
Molecule: ribosomal RNA, 493 nt
Filed under: uncultured bacterium
Lineage: Bacteria
Description: partial 16S ribosomal RNA
Rfam family: Bacterial small subunit ribosomal RNA
Source: RNAcentral